GACGAACGCUGGCGGCGUGCCUAAUACAUGCAAGUUGAACGCUAAAGCUUUAACUGGUGCUUGCACCGACCUAAGUUUUUAGAGUAGCGGACGGGUGAGUAACACGUGAAUAACCUACCUCAAAGACUGGGAUAACCAUUGGAAACAGUGACUAAUACCGGAUAAAACCCAGUAGCACAUGCUACAAGGUUAAAAGCUGCGUUUGCAGCGCUUUAAGAUGGAUUCGCGGUGCAUUAGUUAGUUGGUGAGGUAAAGGCUCACCAAGACAAUGAUGCAUAGCCGAGUUGAGAGACUGACCGGCCACAUUGGGACUGAGACACGGCCCAAACUCCUACGGGAGGCUGCAGUAGGGAAUCUUCCACAAUGGGCGCAAGCCUGAUGGAGCAACGCCGCGUGUGUGAUGAAGGCUUUCGGGUCGUAAAGCACUGUUGUAUGGGAAGAACGGGUUUAAGAGGAAAUGCUUAAGCAGUGACGGUACCAUACCAGAAAGGGACGGCUAAAUACGUGCCAGCCGCCGCCGUAACAC
RNAcentral lists this ribosomal RNA (526 nucleotides) under uncultured bacterium. Its description in RNAcentral is "bacterial SSU rRNA". It matches the Rfam family "Bacterial small subunit ribosomal RNA", at positions 28 to 526 of the family's 1533-position model. The record is from RNAcentral.